UAGGGAAUCUUCGGCAAUGGACGGAAGUCUGACCGAGCAACGCCGCGUGAGUGAAGAAGGUUUUCGGAUCGUAAAGCUCUGUUGUAAGAGAAGAACGAGUGUGAGAGUGGAAAGUUCACACUGUGACGGUAUCUUACCAGAAAGGGACGGCUAACUACGUGCCAGCAGCCGCGGUAAUACGUAGGUCCCGAGCGUUGUCCGGAUUUAUUGGGCGUAAAGCGAGCGCAGGCGGUUAGAUAAGUCUGAAGUUAAAGGCUGUGGCUUAACCAUAGUAGGCUUUGGAAACUGUUUAACUUGAGUGCAAGAGGGGAGAGUGGAAUUCCAUGUGUAGCGGUGAAAUGCGUAGAUAUAUGGAGGAACACCGGUGGCGAAAGCGGCUCUCUGGCUUGUAACUGACGCUGAGGCUCGAAAGCGUGGGGAGCAAACAGGAUUAGAUACCCUGGUAGUCCACGCUGUAAACGAUGAGUGCUAGGUGUUAGGCCCUUUCCGGGGUUUAGUGCCGUAGCUAACGCAUUAAGCACUCCGCCUGGGGGGUACGACCGCAAGGUUG
This 550-nucleotide ribosomal RNA is filed under the name uncultured bacterium. RNAcentral's name for it is "bacterial SSU rRNA". It matches the Rfam family "Bacterial small subunit ribosomal RNA", at positions 355 to 896 of the family's 1533-position model. The record is from RNAcentral.